Small nucleolar RNA from Lepidothrix coronata (blue-crowned manakin), 135 nucleotides. The record is from Ensembl. NCBI's taxonomy places the organism in Eukaryota, Metazoa, Chordata, Aves, Passeriformes, Pipridae.
GCCCUGUGGUUCCUGGGCACUGCUCUGCCCAUGCAGUGCCCCAGGGGGUAGCAAUGGGCCAACAGUGACACUGUGAUUUUUGCGUGGAAUCUGUGACCUGUGAGCAGCUUCCACAGCCCGGUCACAGUCACACCC